Molecule: long non-coding RNA, 6078 nt
Organism: Panthera uncia (snow leopard)
Lineage: Eukaryota; Metazoa; Chordata; Mammalia; Carnivora; Felidae
Exons: 2
Source: RefSeq, a predicted model, not a curated record
CUCACUCACUCACUCACUCUGUCUCUCUCUCAAAAAAAUAAAAAAAAAAAAAAAAAAAAAAGAGUUUGACCCUGUAGUUGAAAUGGGGUCUCAGUCUUUACUACAGAGGAGCGGAAAGUGGAGGAGGUUGAGAAACUCUAGUUCAGCUAUCAUUGUGAAGUCAUAAAAAAAGAUUUUUAACCUCCUCUUUGAAGAUCCUUAACUGAACAUGGAAACUGACUCUUUAGCUCUGAAGGUGUUCAUAGUAUUUUUAUUUGUUUCUGUAUUCGUGUUUUGCUUAAAUUUUGUUUUCUUUAACGUUUAAUUCUUGAGGGUGGUUUCUAGGCUUGAAAACAUUGUAAACUUUUGUAUUAUGCCCAGUGAUUUUUCUGUAAGGGUUUUGGAAUCCUAGGUUCAAAUGUUAGUUAUAUGACCUUAGACAAGUGACAACUUGUGGGAGCCUCAAGUUCCUAUCUGUAAUUUGGGAAUAAUAAUCUUUUCAGACAAAGUCAGGUAGUUCAUGAUGUUUAUGGUGUUUAUGUAUUAAGCCUUGUAACACAAUCUAGAGAUGGGCUUGACCCACAACUAUCAUUUGAUCAUCAUAGCUAUUCUAUUGUGAUGUAAAUCGUCCAGUAUGUAAAUGGUAGGCUUCCAAAAUUACUGAAAUUUGUGCUUGAUUUGUUGAACAUUUUUGGAAAAUUUAUUAAAACUACAUGAUAAUGGCACUGGUAACUGCAAAAAUUGAUUUAAGAGAUACCAGGGUGUAUAAUACAGCCACCUGGGGUGGCUCAGUUGGAUGAACAUCAUGACCUGAGCUGAAGUCGGACUGUUAACUGACUUGAGCCACCCAGGUGCCCCUGAAAAGGGUUAUUUUGAUAUUUAAUAUUGAUAUUUGAAGUUGGGGGAUUUUUAAAAUUUCAUUUGUGUAGUUAACCAUUGGCUUGAUCAGAUGACAAUUUGAAGUAAAAUGGCUCAGUAUGUCUAGGACUAUUUAAAUUAUGUAAAAAAAAAAAAAGUGCAUUAUAAAAUGCAAGAUCCCUGGAUUCUUAUGCACAGAAUUUGAGAAACACUUGUUCAGCAUUUAUUCAUCCAUCGAUUCAUUUAGCAAAUGUUGUUUGUUGGCCUCCUGUGUGCUAAUCAUUGUUCAAGGUGCUAGAGAGCAGUUGACUGGUUUACCUUACACAAAGUCACCACCAUUGUGGAGCUUGCUGACAAAAUAAUUCAGGUAAAGAAAAGUGCUUUGUGAUAGAGGGUAAAUUUUAUUGCAUAAACUGCCAUGAAUAUUACUUUUUUUUUUUUUUUUUUUUUUACCAAAAAUUAACUGUGGCCCUGGGAUAGAAAAUUACCUUGAUCCUGAGGUAGAAAUUAGUGCAGAGCUGCAUUGACUUCUGCCCUCAGAACCCUAUUAAGCUGGUGGUGUAUCCAUAUUUUCUGGGUUAUUAGCUAGUCUAGGCAGAACUAAACCAGGGAUCAUUUGGCUUGGUGAGGAGGUCUAUUAUAUUCCUUAGGUAGUAUAUAACUGGUUGUCUUAAAGUUUUCUCUGAGGUAACUAACUGUAGUGUAGUGGCUAAGAGCCACUGUAAAAAUGUAUUGGCAGACUCUCCCUACUGCUGAGGUGAAAUCCUGCCUCUGCUUUAUUCGCUUUGCAACAUUGGGCAGAUUACUUUAAAAAAAAAUUUUUUUUUAACAUUUAUUUAUUUUUGAGAGACAGACAGAGGCAGAGUAUGAGCAGGGAAGGGGCAGAGAGAGAGGGAGACACAGAAUCCAAAGCAGGCUCUAGGCUCCAAGCUGUCAGCACAGAGCCCGAUGCGACGUGGGGGCCCGAACCCACAAACCGUGAGAUCAUGACCUGAGCCGAAGUCGGAUGCUCAACCGACUGAGGCACCCAGGUGCCCCUGGGCAGAUUACUUUUAGGUAAAAUAACUUUUUUCUUAUCUGCAAAAUGUGUAUGAUAAAAAUAUUUAACUGAAGUUGUUAAUGAAGAUAAAUUGAGUGUUCUAAAUUAAUUAAUUUAAAUUAAUUAAUUUAAAUUAAUUAAUUAAACUAAAUUAAAUGUUAGUUGUUGUUCUUCUCUGUCAGAAUGGGUGAAAAAUUUCCAGUUUAAUUUUCCAUUUUUAUUUUUCAUGAAAUACCCCUAAGCAUCUUCUAGUAGGAUCCUGGAGUUUGUAUUGGAUGAAAUGACAGGUGUUUGGUGUCUUUUUUUUUUUUUUUUUUUAAGUACUUGUAAUUUAGUGGUCUUCUCAAUAUUGGAGAUAAAAUUAAACCUGGAUGAUUGACUUGCUUGAAGCAAAUUUAAUCAGUUUAUAUACUUUAUUUUUCAGUAUUUGUAGGGUUAAUUGACAUGGGAUUUCUAUUUUCUGAUAGUAAAUAGGUAAGUGAAACAAAUGGUUAUGUAUGACCAAAGACAUGGUUUUACCACAUUCAUGAUGACUGUUUCGGACUCCUGUUACCUUAAAACUGCUUAUAUGAGCGGAAGGUAUCAUUUUUGCCAUGAACUUGAUGUCUCUCAUUUUUCCCUUCAUUUUUAUCUCUUCCCACCCACAUAGGAUAAAUAAAAUGGCAUAAAAUGGACCAAUAAUGAAGACCACUUUUGGCUUAUUUGGUGAUGACAUAUAUUGCUUAGAAAUAGAGGUGGUGAUUUUUCUGUCAGUUUUAUGGACUGACAAUUUGGAUGUUUUUGUGGUGAUUUUGGCAUAUAGUUUCCAAGUCCAGUUGUACAGUUUAUAUCCUUUGAUAGAUGUUUUAUGUGACUGUGUAGCUCAGGGGCUUCUGGUUCUGUGGAAGAAAAGGAUUUUGAUGGAAUUCUUUAGACAAAGUUAACCACACAUGGUUAUCAAGAAUUAAAAUGAGAAAAUAAGUCAUUGUUGCAGUUAUCUGCCUUGUCAGAUUCAUUACUGUGUUUUAAAAACUUUAUCCUAGAAAAACACAACAACUUCUUUUGUUGGACGUUUUCAGUUUCUAAUUUUUCUUUAUGUGGAGUAAUUCUAUAUAGGACACUCUUGUAUAUAAAGCCUUUAUGUUAAAAUCCACUGCAGUAGGUCAGAGAGUGAACAUUUUAAAAGUUUUUUGUAUCAGUAUUGACAAAUUGCUUCCCAAAAGUCUUAGGACAGUUUUUACUCUUGCCCAGUUUACUGUAUCUUUGUCAGCAUCGGGCAUCCCAAUUUAUAAAAAUUCACCAUUUGGAUUAAAAUGAAAUAAUUGUGGGGCACCUGGGUGGCUCAGUCGGUUAAGCAUCCGACUUCAGCUCAGGUCACGAUCUCACGGUCCGUGAGUUCGAGCCCCGCAUCGGGCUCUGGGCUGAUGGCUCAGAGCCUGGAGCCUGCUUCCCAUUCUGUGUCUCCCUCUCUCUCUCUGCCCCUCCCCUGUUCAUGCUCUCUCUCAAAAAUAAAUAAACGUUAAAAAUAAAUAAAUAAAUAAAAUGAAAUAAUUGAUUCAUUUUGCAUAUCUUCAGUGACUAGUGUGAUUGAAUGUUCUUCCAUGUUUAUUAGCUGUGAAUUGUCUUUUUGCUUGUUUAUACUUUUCUUACUUUCUUUGAAGACAAUAGUCUUUUAUGUCACUUGCCUAGGAUGAUUUUCCCAGUUGAUGUGUCUUUUAUUUUGGAUGUUAGAUGUUUCAUUAUCUAUUUAUUGAUUGUAAAAGUAGUAGAUGUUAAUUGUAGGAAAAUCCAGAAAAGCACAAAAAUGAGAAUAAAAAUGCUACUGCUCAGAGAUAACCACUUAUAACAUUGACUUUUAGUCUCUCUAGUGUUUUCUGUGCUUGUGCAUUAUUUCACAAAAUUCAAAGUUUCUUUCAUAAGGUAGCAGCUUGUUUUUUAUUCUAAGUUUCUGUGAACAUUUUCACUGCCUUCUACGAUAUUUCCCCCCAUUUAUAAAAAUUUUAUUUUGGAAUAAUUAUGGAUUCACAAGUUGCCCAAAAACCGUACAGGGUGGUCUCAUGUACUUUUAUGCUCAGUUUCUCCGAAUAGUAACACCUUGCCAUAACUAUAUAAAUGGCCAGCAAAUUGAUAUUGUUACAGUCCACAGAACUUACUCAUAUUUCAUCAGUUUUACAUACAAUAUGAUUUUAAGGCUCUGGGAUAGUCUUUAUAUGGCUGGACUACAGUUAUUGAACAGAUCCUCUGUGGUUGGUGUCUUAGUCCAUUUGAGCUACUAUAACAAUAUCACAGACAAGGUAGCUUAAGAAAUUUAUUGCAGAUAGCGAUGCAGUAAACCUAGGAGUGCAUACAUCUUUCAAAAUAGUGUUUUCGUUUUCUUUGGGUAAAGACCCAAUAGUGAAAUUACUGGAUCAUAUGGUAAUUCUAUUUUUAAAAGAAUGUAUAUUUUUAAGGCUUUUGAUAAACAUUGCUAACUCUUAGAAAAACUGUAUGAAAUGGGGCGCCUGGGUGGCUCAGUCGGUUGGGCAUCCGACUUCGGCUCAGGUCACGAUCUCACGGGCCCCCAGGGGCCCCGUGAGUUCGAGCCCCGCGUUGGGCUCUGGGCUGAUGGCUCAGAGCCUGGAGCCUCCUUCCGAUUCUGUGUCUCCCUCUCUCUCUGCCCCUCCCCCGUUCAUGCUCUGUCUCUCUCUGUCUCAAAAAUAAAUAAACGUUAAAAAAAAAAAAAUUAAAAAAAAAAAAAAAGAAAAACUGUAUGAAUUACAGCAAUGAACCGUUUGCUUCCUUUUAUACUUGUCAAAAUGACAUUAAGUAGUUCAAUAGGUAAAAAUGAUACCUUGCAGUUAACUAUUCCUGUUUGUCCUUUGUACAUUUUCCCUGGAACAGGAAGACCUAGUUUUUCCCUUUCUCGAGCCCAGUGCUUUGCUUUAGAACACAUAUGUAAAUAAACUAUUAUUGUGGUUAGCAAAAUAGAGGUGUGUGCAAAUAAUAAGAGGGAAAGAAGAAGUAAUGACCAAAGAAAUGAAGUCAGGUGCCCAAGAUUUGUAGAAACUGUAAGGAGUUAUGGUAGAGUAGACAUUAUGUCUUUAAAAAUGAGGAAGCUGGAGGGACUCCUGGAUGGCUCAGUCAGUUAAGCGUCCACCUUCAGUUCAGGUCAUGAUCUCGUGGUGUGUGAGUUCGAGCCCCACGUCAGGCUCUGUGCUGACAGCUCAGAGCCUGGAGCCUGUUUUGGAUUCUGUGUCUCCCCUUCUCUCUCUCUGCCCCUGCCCCACUCAUGCUCUGUCUCUCUCACUCUCUCUCAAAAAUAAAUAAACAUUUUAAAAAAUUAAAAAAUAAAUAAGUGAAUAAAAUGAAGAAACUGGGGCCAGUAAUUGCAUAAUUACUGGAUGGCAGAAUAAAGUUAAUUUUUUUGUUGUUAUACCACACUUGUCUUUCAGGUGUUGGAAUGACUCUCAAUUUAGCUUCAUGAAGACAAUAUUGAUACUUUUUUUUUUUUUUAAGAAAUAUUAUAAACUAGAUGUUCUGGAAAAAACUGACAAUGUUGGUUGAAAUAUUUUUUUGAAUUUUUUUUUUCUAAGUUUGUGUAUUUUGAGAAAGGGUACAAGUGUGCGAGUGGGGGAAGGGCAAAGAGCUAGAGAGAGACUCCUAAGCAGGCUCCGCCCUAUGAGCACAGAGCCCAAUCAGGGGCUCAGUCAUGACCUGAGUUGAAAUCAAGAGUUGGACACUUGGGGCGCCUGGGUGGCUUAGUCGGUUGAGCGUCUUUGACUCAGGUCAUGAUCUCACACUCCUAGGUUCGAGGCUUGCUUUGGGCUCUGUGCUGACAGCUCAAAGCCUGGAGGCUUGCUUCGGAUUCUGUGUCUCUCUCUCUCUCUGCCCCUCCCCCACUUGCACUCUGUCACUCUCUCCCCCUCUCUCUCUCAAAAUAAACAUAAUAAUAAAAAAUUAAAAAGAGUUGGACACUUAACUGACUGAGCCACCCAGACACCCCUAAAAAAGUUUUUAUUUUUUAUUUUUUAUUAUUUUUUUAACGUUUAUUUAUUUUUGAGACAGAGAGAGACAGAGUGUGAACGGGGGAGGGGCAGAGACAGAGGGAGACACAGAAUCGGAAGCAGGCUCCAGGCUCUGAGCCAUCAGCCCAGAGCUGGACGCGGGGCUCGAACUCACGGACCGCGAGAUCGUGACCUGAGCUGAAGUCGGAUGCUUAACCGACUGAGCCACCCAGGCGCCCC